Molecule: ribosomal RNA, 330 nt
Filed under: uncultured eukaryote
Lineage: Eukaryota
Description: partial 18S ribosomal RNA
Rfam family: Eukaryotic small subunit ribosomal RNA
Source: RNAcentral
CCCUUAGAUGUUCUGGGCCGCACGCGCGCUACACUGAUGCAUUCAACGAGUCUAAAACCUGGUCUGAUAGGGCUGGGUAAUCUUUUGAAAGUGCAUCGUGAUUGGGAUAGAUGAUUGCAAUUCUUCAUCUUCAACGAGGAAUGCCUAGUAAACGCAAGUCAUCAGCUUGCAUCGAUUACGUCCCUGCCCUUUGUACACACCGCCCGUCGCUCCUACCGAUUGAAUGAUCCGAUGAAUACCAUGGAUUGAGAGUACGAAUGGGUUCGCUCAUUUCUGCUGCUCGAGAAGUGGAGUAAAUCUUAUCAUUUAGAGGAAGGAGAAGUCGUAACA